GGGUAAUGGCUCACCAAGGCGACGAUCAGUAGCGGGUCUGAGAGGAUGAUCCGCCACACUGGAACUGAGACACGGUCCAGACUCCUACGGGAGGCAGCAGUGGGGAAUUUUGGACAAUGGGGGCAACCCUGAUCCAGCCAUUCCGCGUGAGUGAAGAAGGCCUUCGGGUUGUAAAGCUCUUUCAGCUGGAACGAAACGGUACAUCCUAAUACGGUGUGCUAAUGACGGUACCAGCAGAAGAAGCACCGGCUAACUACGUGCCAGCAGCCGCGGUAAUACGUAGGGUGCGAGCGUUAAUCGGAAUUACUGGGCGUAAAGCGUGCGCAGGCGGAUUGUUAAGCAAGAUGUGAAAUCCCCGGGCUUAACCUGGGAAUGGCAUUUUGAACUGGCAGUCUAGAGUGUGUCAGAGGGGGGUGGAAUUCCACGUGUAGCAGUGAAAUGCGUAGAGAUGUGGAGGAACACCAAUGGCGAAGGCAGCCCCCUGGGAUAACACUGACGCUCAUGUACGAAAGCGUGGGUAGCAAACAGGAUUAGAUACCCUGGUAGUCCACGCCCUAAACGAUGUCAACUGGUUGUUGGGGGAGUGAAAUCCCUUAGUAACGAAGCUAACGCGUGAAGUUGACCGCCUGGGGAGUACGGUCGCAAGAUUAAAACUCAAAGGAAUUGACGGGGACCCGCACAAGCGGUGGAUGAUGUGGAUUAAUUCGAUGCAACGCGAAAAACCUUACCUACCCUUGACAUGUCCAGAAUCCCGCAGAGAUGUGGGAGUGCCCGAAAGGGAAUUGGAACACAGGUGCUGCAUGGCUGUCGUCAGCUCGUGUCGUGAGAUGUUGGGUUAAGUCCCGCAACGAGCGCAACCCUUAUCAUUAGUUGCUACGCAAGGGCACUCUAAUGAGACUGCCGGUGACAAACCGGAGGAAGGUGGGGAUGACGUCAAGUCCUCAUGGCCCUUAUGGGUAGGGCUUCACACGUCAUACAAUGGUCGGUACAGAGGGUUGCCAAGCCGCGAGGUGGAGCCAAUCCCAGAAAGCCGAUCGUAGUCCGGAUUGUUCUCUGCAACUCGAGAGCAUGAAGUCGGAAUCGCUAGUAAUCGCGGAUCAGCAUGUCGCGGUGAAUACGUUCCCGGGUCUUUUACACACCGCCCGUCACACCAUGGGAGUGGAAUCUGCCAGAAGUAGGUAGCCUAACCGCAAGGGGGGCGCUUACCACGGUGGGUUUCAUGACUGGGGUGAAGUCGUAACAAGGUA
Molecule: ribosomal RNA, 1247 nt
Filed under: metagenome
Description: bacterial SSU rRNA
Rfam family: Bacterial small subunit ribosomal RNA
Source: RNAcentral